Molecule: non-coding RNA, 399 nt
Organism: Vicia faba (fava bean)
Lineage: Eukaryota; Viridiplantae; Streptophyta; Magnoliopsida; Fabales; Fabaceae
Source: the annotation of a GenBank genome assembly
AUGCAAAUACAGAAAUUAUUAAAAAAAACAUUAUUACAGCAAACAAAGAUGAGUCAAUGCAGACUCGUUUACUUAUUGGAGCCCGCCGUCGCUACCACCCAUCCGACACCACUUCUGCAAGACAUACGACCGGCCACCCACGCAUCGCACCGCCAAACACGCAGCUUCCCAAAUAACUUCCUCCUCUGUGCCCGACGAAAAUCUCCGGCGACGAACUGCAGAUCCGCAACCAACAACCCUCCACGCCCGACGAACCUUCAUGCAAUCAGCCCUUUCCGCUUCUUUUCGUCCGCCGUACAAAAUCACCAUAGGCAAGUUAUUCUCUGUGAUUCUACUAGUUUUGGUGUUUUUAAGUGUAUGAGUUGCAGAAAUUUUUUGGUUGUUCAUGGAGAAAGAUGA